AACGAACGCUGGCGGCAGGCCUAACACAUGCAAGUCGAACGCCCUGGCAACAGGGAGUGGCAGACGGGUGAGUAACGCGUGGGAACGUGCCCUUCGGUUCGGAAUAACUCAGGGAAACUUGAGCUAAUACCGGAUACGUGCGAGAGCAGAAAGAUUUAUCGCCGAAGGAUCGGCCCGCGUCCGAUUAGCUAGUUGGUGAGGUAAUGGCUCACCAAGGCGACGAUCGGUAGCUGGUCUGAGAGGAUGAUCAGCCACACUGGGACUGAGACACGGCCCAGACUCCUACGGGAGGCAGCAGUGGGGAAUAUUGGACAAUGGGCGCAAGCCUGAUCCAGCCAUGCCGCGUGAGUGAUGAAGGCCCUAGGGUUGUAAAGCUCUUUCGCCAGGGACGAUAAUGACGGUACCUGGAUAAGAAGCCCCGGCUAACUUCGUGCCAGCAGCCGCGUGUA
Molecule: ribosomal RNA, 449 nt
Filed under: uncultured bacterium
Lineage: Bacteria
Description: partial 16S ribosomal RNA
Rfam family: Bacterial small subunit ribosomal RNA
Source: RNAcentral